Molecule: ribosomal RNA, 254 nt
Filed under: uncultured bacterium
Lineage: Bacteria
Description: partial 16S ribosomal RNA
Rfam family: Bacterial small subunit ribosomal RNA
Source: RNAcentral
UACGUAGGGGCCGAGCGUUGUCCGGAGUUACUGGGCGUAAAGCGCGCGCAGGCGGCGCAUCGCGCCCGGCGUGAAAGCCCCCGGCUCAACCGGGGAGGGUCGUCGGGGACGGGUGCGCUUGAGGACGGCAGGGGCAGGUGGAAUUCCCGGUGUAGUGGUGAAAUGACGUAGAGAUCGGGAGGAACACCCGUGGUGAAGGCGGCCUGCUGGGCCGAUCCUGACGCUGAGGCGCGAAGGCGUGGGGAGCGAACGGG